GUACACACAUAACUAAUGUCAAACCAGGUGGGGAAAAGGUGUCACGUGACCUCACGUAUAAUUCGCUGGUCCAUGCGUGAUUCCCAACCAUAUUGACAUGGAUAUCAAACGAAUGGGAAUUGAAGAAGCUAUGCGAUGGUACACACGUAACGAACGUCAAACCAGGUGGCAAAAAGGUGUCACGUCAUCUCACGUAUAAUUCGCUGGUUCAUGCGUGAUUCCCAACCAUACUGACAUGGAUAUCAAACGAACGGGAAUUGAAGAAGCUAUGCGAUGGUACACACGAAACGAACGUUAAACCAGGUGGGAAAAGUGUGUCACGUGACCUCACGUAUCUUUUGCUAGCCCAUGCGUGAUUCCCAACCAUAUUGACAUGGAUAUCAAACGAACGGGCUUCGAAGAAGCUCUGCGAUGGUACACACGUAACGAACGUCAAACCAGGUGGCAAAAAGGUGUCACGUCAUCUCACGUAUAAUUCGCUGGUUCAUGCGUGAUUCCCAACCAUAUUGACAUGGAUAUCAAACGAAUGGGAAUUGAAGAAGCUAUGCGAUGGUACACACGUAACGAACGUCAAACCAGGUGGCAAAAAGGUGUCACGUCAUCUCACGUAUAAUUCGCUGGUUCAUGCGUGAUUCCCAACCAUACUGACAUGGAUAUCAAACGAACGGGAAUUGAAGAAGCUAUGCGAUGGUACACACGAAACGAACGUUAAACCAGGUGGGAAAAGUGUGUCACGUGACCUCACGUAUCUUUUGCUAGCCUAUGCGUGAUUCCCAACCAUAUUGACAUGGAUAUCAAACAAACGGGCUUCGAGGAAGCUCUGCGAGGGUACACACUUAACGAACGUCAAACCAGGUGGGAAAAGGGUGUCACGUGACCUCUCGUAUCUUUCGCUGGUCCAUGCGUGAUUCCCAACCAUACUUACAUGGAUAUCAAACGAACGGGCUUUGAAGAAGCUCUGCGAUUGUACGCACGUCGCAUACUUCAAACAACGUAAAAAAG
Molecule: long non-coding RNA, 1002 nt
Organism: Dermacentor silvarum
Lineage: Eukaryota; Metazoa; Arthropoda; Arachnida; Ixodida; Ixodidae
Exons: 5
Source: RefSeq, a predicted model, not a curated record